CAGUCGCCGCGGUAAUACGAAGGGUGCAAGCGUUAAUCGGAAUUACUGGGCGUAAAGCGUGCGUAGGCGGUGAGUUAAGUCUGCUGUGAAAUCCCCGGGCUCAACCUGGGAAUGGCAGUGGAUACUGGCAAGCUAGAGUGUGUCAGAGGAUGGUGGAAUUCCCGGUGUAGCGGUGAAAUGCGUAGAGAUCGGGAGGAACAACAGUGGCGAAGGCGGCCAUCUGGGACAACACUGACGCUGAGGCACGAAAGCGUGGGGAGCAAACAGGAUUAGAUACCCCCGUAGUCCCUGUCUCUUAUAC
RNAcentral lists this ribosomal RNA (301 nucleotides) under uncultured bacterium. RNAcentral's name for it is "partial 16S ribosomal RNA". It matches the Rfam family "Bacterial small subunit ribosomal RNA", at positions 509 to 807 of the family's 1533-position model. The record is from RNAcentral.